Molecule: long non-coding RNA, 468 nt
Organism: Limanda limanda (common dab)
Lineage: Eukaryota; Metazoa; Chordata; Actinopteri; Pleuronectiformes; Pleuronectidae
Exons: 5
Source: RefSeq, a predicted model, not a curated record
CUCAUUGAGGAGUCGAACCUGAUCCUGCUUAGGCUUCAACAUGUGUUCUUCAUACUUUAUGAUGAACUCCAGCGUCAGUGGGAACUUCUCUGAACACGAUCCACCCUGAUCAGGCUUCUUUGGAUAAUGUGGAAUCAAAUCUCAUAUCUUCCUGCCUGGCGAAGGUCACCACGUGUCCUCUGGAUUCAAGGUUCGAGGCCCUUGUGUUCCCAUGAUGCCUUCACUGCCUGCAGGAGGAAGCACGUGGAGAAGGUUGCGUUCACUGUCUGCAGGAGGAAGCACGUGGAGAAGAUGUAACCGGAGGAAGGAAGUCUACGUGAAAACGAGCUGGUCCUGAGACGACAUGAACCAGGUGGUGAAAGGAGAAGCAGCUGAUGUGGACUGAGUCAGAAGUCGCACAAGAAAAUACAAGAUGCAUAAAAUUGUUUUAAAAACUGUUUAAUAAAAACUAAAAUGUAUAAAAUUCAA